GGACCCGCACAAGCAGCGGAGCAUGUGGUUUAAUUCGAAGCAACGCGAAAAACCUUACCAAGACUUGACAUCGUAUGACCGCUAUAGAAAUAUGGUUUCCCUUCGGGGCAUAUAGACAGGUGGUGCAUGGUUGUCGUCAGCUCGUGUCGUGAGAUGUUGGGUUAAGUCCCGCAACGAGCGCAACCCUUAUGAAUAGUUGCCAAUAUUAAGUUAGGAACUCUAUUCAGACUGCCGUGGAUAACACGGAGGAAGGUGGGGAUGACGUCAAAUCAUCAUGCCCCUUACGUCUUGGGCUACACACGUGCUACAAUGGCUAUUACAAAGAGCAGCGACGUCGUAAGGCAGAGCGAAUCUCAUAAAAAUAGUCUCAGUUCGGACUGUGGGCUGCAACCCGCCCACACGAAGUCGGAGUUGCUAGUAAUCCCGAAUCAGCAUGUCGGGGUGAAUGCGUUCCCGGGUCUU
This 462-nucleotide ribosomal RNA is filed under the name uncultured bacterium. RNAcentral describes it as "bacterial SSU rRNA". It matches the Rfam family "Bacterial small subunit ribosomal RNA", at positions 917 to 1382 of the family's 1533-position model. The record is from RNAcentral.